This 2992-nucleotide ribosomal RNA is filed under the name Salmonella enterica subsp. enterica serovar Typhimurium. Its description in RNAcentral is "23S ribosomal RNA". It matches the Rfam family "Bacterial large subunit ribosomal RNA". Lineage: Bacteria; Pseudomonadati; Pseudomonadota; Gammaproteobacteria; Enterobacterales; Enterobacteriaceae. The record is from RNAcentral.
GGUUAAGCGACUAAGCGUACACGGUGGAUGCCCUGGCAGUCAGAGGCGAUGAAGGGCGUGCUAAUCUGCGAUAAGCGCCGGUAAGGUGAUAUGAACCGUUAUAACCGGCGAUACCCGAAUGGGGAAACCCAGUGUGAUUCGUCACACUAUCAUUAACUGAAUCCAUAGGUUAAUGAGGCGAACCGGGGGAACUGAAACAUCUAAGUACCCCGAGGAAAAGAAAUCAACCGAGAUUCCCCCAGUAGCGGCGAGCGAACGGGGAGGAGCCCAGAGCCUGAAUCAGCAUGUGUGUUAGUGGAAGCGUCUGGAAAGGNGCGCGAUACAGGGUGACAGCCCCGUACACAAAAGCGCAUGUGCUGUGAGCUCGAUGAGUAGGGCGGGACACGUGGUAUCCUGUCUGAAUAUGGGGGGACCAUCCUCCAAGGCUAAAUACUCCUGACUGACCGAUAGUGAACCAGUACCGUGAGGGAAAGGCGAAAAGAACCCCGGCGAGGGGAGUGAAAAAGAACCUGAAACCGUGUACGUACAAGCAGUGGGAGCACAGGUUUACCUGUGUGACUGCGUACCUUUUGUAUAAUGGGUCAGCGACUUAUAUUCUGUAGCAAGGUUAACCGUAUAGGGGAGNNNNNNNNNNNNNNNNNNNNNNNNNNNNNNNNAGUUGCAGGGUAUAGACCCGAAACCCGGUGAUCUAGCCAUGGGCAGGUUGAAGGUUGGGUAACACUAACUGGAGGACCGAACCGACUAAUGUUGAAAAAUUAGCGGAUGACCUGUGGCUGGGGGUGAAAGGCCAAUCAAACCGGGAGAUAGCUGGUUCUCCCCGAAAGCUAUUUAGGUAGCGCCUCGUGAAUUCAUCUCCGGGGGUAGAGCACUGUUUCGGCUAGGGGGCCAUCCCGGCUUACCAACCCGAUGCAAACUGCGAAUACCGGAGAAUGUUAUCACGGGAGACACACGGCGGGUGCUAACGUCCGUCGUGAAGAGGGAAACAACCCAGACCGCCAGCUAAGGUCCCAAAGUCAUGGUUAAGUGGGAAACGAUGUGGGAAGGCCCAGACAGCCAGGAUGUUGGCUUAGAAGCAGCCAUCAUUUAAAGAAAGCGUAAUAGCUCACUGGUCGAGUCGGCCUGCGCGGAAGAUGUAACGGGGCUAAACCAUGCACCGAAGCUGCGGCAGCGAACGUAUCACCCAAGACAACUUUACGGAGUUGACGAUUGACGGAGCGAAGCGACGUCAAAGCGUUCAUUAAAGUCGAGUUGGCUUAGGGAUACGUUCGUUGGGUAGGGGAGCGUUCUGUAAGCCUGUGAAGGUGUGUCGUGAGGCAUGCUGGAGGUAUCAGAAGUGCGAAUGCUGACAUAAGUAACGAUAAAGCGGGUGAAAAGCCCGCUCGCCGGAAGACCAAGGGUUCCUGUCCAACGUUAAUCGGGGCAGGGUGAGUCGACCCCUAAGGCGAGGCCGAAAGGCGUAGUCGAUGGGAAACGGGUUAAUAUUCCCGUACUUGGUGUUACUGCGAAGGGGGGACGGAGAAGGCUAUGUUGGCCGGGCGACGGUUGUCCCGGUUUAAGCGUGUAGGUGUGUGUUCCAGGUAAAUCCGGUUCACUUUAACACUGAGGCGUGACGACGAGGCACUACGGUGCUGAAGCAACAAAUGCCCUGCUUCCAGGAAAAGCCUCUAAGCAUCAGGUAACACGAAAUCGUACCCCAAACCGACACAGGUGGUCAGGUAGAGAAUACCAAGGCGCUUGAGAGAACUCGGGUGAAGGAACUAGGCAAAAUGGUGCCGUAACUUCGGGAGAAGGCACGCUGACACGUAGGUGAAGUGAUUUACUCAUGGAGCUGAAGUCAGUCGAAGAUACCAGCUGGCUGCAACUGUUUAUUAAAAACACAGCACUGUGCAAACACGAAAGUGGACGUAUACGGUGUGACGCCUGCCCGGUGCCGGAAGGUUAAUUGAUGGGGUCAGCGCAAGCGAAGCUCCUGAUCGAAGCCCCGGUAAACGGCGGCCGUAACUAUAACGGUCCUAAGGUAGCGAAAUUCCUUGUCGGGUAAGUUCCGACCUGCACGAAUGGCGUAAUGAUGGCCAGGCUGUCUCCACCCGAGACUCAGUGAAAUUGAACUCGCUGUGAAGAUGCAGUGUACCCGCGGCAAGACGGAAAGACCCCGUGAACCUUUACUAUAGCUUGACACUGAACAUUGAGCCUUGAUGUGUAGGAUAGGUGGGAGGCUUUGAAGUGUGGACGCCAGUCUGCAUGGAGCCGACCUUGAAAUACCACCCUUUAAUGUUUGAUGUUCUAACGUGGACCCGUAAUCCGGGUUGCGGACAGUGUCUGGUGGGUAGUUUGACUGGGGCGGUCUCCUCCUAAAGAGUAACGGAGGAGCACGAAGGUUGGCUAAUCCUGGUCGGACAUCAGGAGGUUAGUGCAAUGGCAUAAGCCAGCUUGACUGCGAGCGUGACGGCGCGAGCAGGUGCGAAAGCAGGUCAUAGUGAUCCGGUGGUUCUGAAUGGAAGGGCCAUCGCUCAACGGAUAAAAGGUACUCCGGGGAUAACAGGCUGAUACCGCCCAAGAGUUCAUAUCGACGGCGGUGUUUGGCACCUCGAUGUCGGCUCAUCACAUCCUGGGGCUGAAGUAGGUCCCAAGGGUAUGGCUGUUCGCCAUUUAAAGUGGUACGCGAGCUGGGUUUAGAACGUCGUGAGACAGUUCGGUCCCUAUCUGCCGUGGGCGCUGGAGAACUGAGGGGGGCUGCUCCUAGUACGAGAGGACCGGAGUGGACGCAUCACUGGUGUUCGGGUUGUCAUGCCAAUGGCACUGCCCGGUAGCUAAAUGCGGAAGAGAUAAGUGCUGAAAGCAUCUAAGCACGAAACUUGCCCCGAGAUGAGUUCUCCCUGAGACUUAGAGUCUCCUGAAGGAACGUUGAAGACGACGACGUUGAUAGGCCGGGUGUGUAAGCGCAGCGAUGCGUUGAGCUAACCGGUACUAAUGAACCGUGAGGCUUAACCUU